UGCAGUCGAGCGGUAGAGAGAAGCUUGCUUCUCUUGAGAGCGGCGGACGGGUGAGUAAUGCCUAGGAAUCUGCCUGGUAGUGGGGGAUAACGUUCGGAAACGGACGCUAAUACCGCAUACGUCCUACGGGAGAAAGCAGGGGACCUUCGGGCCUUGCGCUAUCAGAUGAGCCUAGGUCGGAUUAGCUAGUUGGUGGGGUAAUGGCUCACCAAGGCGACGAUCCGUAACUGGUCUGAGAGGAUGAUCAGUCACACUGGAACUGAGACACGGUCCAGACUCCUACGGGAGGCAGCAGUGGGGAAUAUUGGACAAUGGGCGAAAGCCUGAUCCAGCCAUGCCGCGUGUGUGAAGAAGGUCUUCGGAUUGUAAAGCACUUUAAGUUGGGAGGAAGGGUUGUAGAUUAAUACUCUGCAAUUUUGACGUUACCGACAGAAUAAGCACCGGCUAACUCUGUGCCAGCAGCCGCGGUAAUACAGAGGGUGCAAGCGUUAAUCGGAAUUACUGGGCGUAAAGCGCGCGUAGGUGGUUUGUUAAGUUGGAUGUGAAAUCCCCGGGCUCAACCUGGGAACUGCAUUCAAAACUGACUGACUAGAGUAUGGUAGAGGGUGGUGGAAUUUCCUGUGUAGCGGUGAAAUGCGUAGAUAUAGGAAGGAACACCAGUGGCGAAGGCGACCACCUGGACUAAUACUGACACUGAGGUGCGAAAGCGUGGGGAGCAAACAGGAUUAGAUACCCUGGUAGUCCACGCCGUAAACGAUGUCAACUAGCCGUUGGAAGCCUUGA
This 783-nucleotide ribosomal RNA is filed under the name bacterium LGM6. Its description in RNAcentral is "bacterial SSU rRNA". It matches the Rfam family "Bacterial small subunit ribosomal RNA", at positions 56 to 835 of the family's 1533-position model. The record is from RNAcentral.